RNAcentral lists this ribosomal RNA (344 nucleotides) under uncultured Verrucomicrobiota bacterium. Its description in RNAcentral is "bacterial SSU rRNA". It matches the Rfam family "Bacterial small subunit ribosomal RNA", at positions 29 to 351 of the family's 1533-position model. The record is from RNAcentral. Lineage: Bacteria; Pseudomonadati; Verrucomicrobiota.
AACGAACGCUGGCGGCGUGGAUAAGACAUGCAAGUCGAGCGAUCAUUAAGGGGUAGCAAUAUUCCUUGGUGGGAGCGGCGCAAGGGUGCGUAACACGUGGGUAAUCUGCCAUGAAGUUUGGGAUAAUCCCGCGAAAGCGGGACUAAUACCGGAUGUGACAGCCUGGGGGCAUCUCUGGGUUGUUAAAGUUGGGGACCGUAAGGCCUGACGCUUCAUGAUGAGCCCGCGGCCUAUCAGCUAGUUGGUGAGGUAACGGCUCACCAAGGCUAAGACGGGUAGCUGGUCUGAGAGGACGACCAGCCACACUGGAACUGAGACACGGUCCAGACACCUACGGGUGGCUG